GCCCUACGGGGCGCAGCAGGCGCGAAAACUUUACAAUGCGGGCAACCGUGAUAAGGAAACCCCGAGUGCCACCACAGGGUGGCUGUCCACCAGUGUAAACAACUGGUGAAGAAAGGGCCGGGCAAGACCGGUGCCAGCCGCCGCGGUAAUACCGGCGGCUCGAGAGGUGGCCGCUUUUACUGGGCUUAAAGGGUCCGUAGCUGGAUCCACAAGUCCCUUGAGAAAUCCAUCGGCUUAACAGCUGGGCGUUCAGGGGAUACUGUGGUUCUAGGGACCGGGAGAGGUGAGAGGUACUGCCGGGGUAGGAGUGAAAUCCUGUAAUCCCGGUGGGACGACCUAUGGCGAAGGCAUCUCACCAGAACGGCUCCGACAGUGAGGGACGAAAGCUGGGGGAGCAAACCGGAUUAGAUACCCGGGUAGUCCCAGCUGUAAACGAUGCGCGUUAGGUGUGUCAGUGAUCACGUGUCACUGAGAUGCCGAAGGGAAACCGUGAAACGCGCCGCCUGGGGAGUACGGUCGCAAGGCUGAAACU
This 532-nucleotide ribosomal RNA is filed under the name uncultured archaeon. Its description in RNAcentral is "bacterial SSU rRNA". It matches the Rfam family "Archaeal small subunit ribosomal RNA", at positions 320 to 856 of the family's 1478-position model. The record is from RNAcentral.